Molecule: ribosomal RNA, 1046 nt
Filed under: Escherichia coli
Lineage: Bacteria; Pseudomonadati; Pseudomonadota; Gammaproteobacteria; Enterobacterales; Enterobacteriaceae
Description: partial 23S ribosomal RNA
Rfam family: Bacterial large subunit ribosomal RNA
Source: RNAcentral
UGUUUCGGCAAGGGGGUCAUCCCGACUUACCAACCCGAUGCAAACUGCGAAUACCGGAGAAUGUUAUCACGGGAGACACACGGCGGGUGCUAACGUCCGUCGUGAAGAGGGAAACAACCCAGACCGCCAGCUAAGGUCCCAAAGUCAUGGUUAAGUGGGAAACGAUGUGGGAAGGCCCAGACAGCCAGGAUGUUGGCUUAGAAGCAGCCAUCAUUUAAAGAAAGCGUAAUAGCUCACUGGUCGAGUCGGCCUGCGCGGAAGAUGUAACGGGGCUAAACCAUGCACCGAAGCUGCGGCAGCGACGCUUAUGCGUUGUUGGGUAGGGGAGCGUUCUGUAAGCCUGUGAAGGUGUGCUGUGAGGCAUGCUGGAGGUAUCAGAAGUGCGAAUGCUGACAUAAGUAACGAUAAAGCGGGUGAAAAGCCCGCUCGCCGGAAGACCAAGGGUUCCUGUCCAACGUUAAUCGGGGCAGGGUGAGUCGACCCCUAAGGCGAGGCCGAAAGGCGUAGUCGAUGGGAAACAGGUUAAUAUUCCUGUACUUGGUGUUACUGCGAAGGGGGGACGGAGAAGGCUAUGUUGGCCGGGCGACGGUUGUCCCGGUUUAAGCGUGUAGGCUGGUUUUCCAGGCAAAUCCGGAAAAUCAAGGCUGAGGCGUGAUGACGAGGCACUACGGUGCUGAAGCAACAAAUGCCCUGCUUCCAGGAAAAGCCUCUAAGCAUCAGGUAACAUCAAAUCGUACCCCAAACCGACACAGGUGGUCAGGUAGAGAAUACCAAGGCGCUUGAGAGAACUCGGGUGAAGGAACUAGGCAAAAUGGUGCCGUAACUUCGGGAGAAGGCACGCUGAUAUGUAGGUGAAGUCCCUCGCGGAUGGAGCUGAAAUCAGUCGAAGAUACCAGCUGGCUGCAACUGUUUAUUAAAAACACAGCACUGUGCAAACACGAAAGUGGACGUAUACGGUGUGACGCCUGCCCGGUGCCGGAAGGUUAAUUGAUGGGGUCAGCGCAAGCGAAGCUCUUGAUCGAAGCCCCGGUAAACGGCGGCCGUAA